CAGAGAUCAUGCCCCUCGCGGGUAGACCUCCCACCCUGUGUUAUUUACGAUUGUUGCUUUGGCAGGUCGCCUUCGGGCACUCGGCUCCGGCUGAGGUGCGCCUGCCAGAGGACCCCCAACUCUGUGUUUAGUAUUGUCUGAGUAUUAUUUUAAUAAGUUA
Molecule: unclassified non-coding RNA, 160 nt
Filed under: uncultured fungus
Lineage: Eukaryota; Fungi
Also listed under: 1 other name
Description: sequence contains ITS1, 5.8S rRNA gene
Source: RNAcentral